This 223-nucleotide ribosomal RNA is filed under the name uncultured bacterium. RNAcentral describes it as "partial 16S ribosomal RNA". It matches the Rfam family "Bacterial small subunit ribosomal RNA", at positions 524 to 741 of the family's 1533-position model. The record is from RNAcentral.
UACGUAGGGUGCAAGCGUUAAUCGGAAUUACUGGGCGUAAAGCGUGCGCAGGCGGUUGUGCAAGACCGAUGUGAAAAUCCCCCGGGCUUAACCUGGGGAAUGGCAUUGGUGACUGCACAGCUAGAGUGUGUCAGAGGGGGGUAGAAUUCCACGUGUGAGCAGUGAAAUGCGUAGAGAUGUGGAGGAAUACCGAUGGCGAAGGCAGCCCCCUGGGAUAAACACU